This is a non-coding RNA of Cinara cedri, 700 nucleotides long. Lineage: Eukaryota; Metazoa; Arthropoda; Insecta; Hemiptera; Aphididae. The record is from the annotation of a GenBank genome assembly.
GGUAAUCAUGUUGUCCGCACUGUUUAUUUUAUUAUUGUCACUUUUUGUAUGUACCGCGUAUACCUACGGUGGACACGAAAUAAUAUUGGACGGACGCUUUAUCGUUCGCCAUUUUUCGGUUUCUAUCGCCUAACGGCCAUAUCGGUUGUCGACAUUUCUUUCUUUGUUAAUACUUGUGUCGUCAUUUUCGUCUUACGUAUCCAGUGUGAGGCCGAGUCAUUGAGGAAUUUGCCGAGUAGUUUAAUUUUUUUGGUCUUCCGUGUGUCUUAUUAUCCACGUGUUGAAUCAAGCCGCUUUUUUUCUGUUUCCAUCAAAUAUUUUGAUUGGAACUCUCUGUUCUUUUGGUAAGUAUUUGACAUUGUUAUUAUAUUAUUAAUAUAAUUGACUUGUGGUUAGUACAGCGGUCAUCGUACGUCAAUCGAUUAUUAUAAUAGGUACUCUUAUAGCCUUCUAACGACAUAUGCAUUUAAUUAAUAUACUAUAUUAUUUUUAUUUAUUUAUUUAUAUUUAAUUGUAUAGAUUUUUAUUCUUAUAAAACUCUAAUUUAGAUUGCUAUACGGAAAAAUAUAAAGGGUUGAGUUUCGUUCAUUCUGAAUAUGUGAGGAUAAUUUAAAUGUGUUACAAAAAUCUAUUGACCCAAACAUCAUUAUAUUUCAAGGUUAUAUGUACGGAAAAUGAAAUGCAUAUAAUAGGUAUGCAU